GGAGAGAUGCCUGAGUGGCCGAAAGGGACGGUUUGCUAAACCGUUGUAGGGGUUUAAAUCCUUACCGAGGGUUCGAAUCCCUCUCUCUCCGCCA
Molecule: transfer RNA, 94 nt
Filed under: Horticoccus luteus
Lineage: Bacteria; Pseudomonadati; Verrucomicrobiota; Opitutia; Opitutales; Opitutaceae
Description: Oleiharenicola sp. KSB-15 tRNA-Ser
Rfam family: tRNA
About the family: Transfer RNA (tRNA) molecules are approximately 80 nucleotides in length. Their secondary structure includes four short double-helical elements and three loops (D, anti-codon, and T loops).
Source: RNAcentral